RNAcentral lists this ribosomal RNA (440 nucleotides) under uncultured bacterium. RNAcentral's name for it is "partial 16S ribosomal RNA". It matches the Rfam family "Bacterial small subunit ribosomal RNA", at positions 338 to 795 of the family's 1533-position model. The record is from RNAcentral.
CCUACGGGCGGCAGCAGUGGGGAAUAUUGCACAAUGGGGGAAACCCUGAUGCAGCGACGCCGCGUGAGUGAAGAAGUAAUUCGUUAUGUAAAGCUCUAUCAGCAGGGGAGUAAAUGACGGUACCUGAGUAAGAAGCCCCGGCUAACUUCGUGCCAGCAGCCGCGGUAAUACGUAGGGAGCAAGCGUUAUCCGGAUUUACUGGGUGUAAAGGGAGCGUAGACGGGUGUGUAAGUCAGUAGUGAAAGUCGGGGGCUCAACCGCCGGAUUGCCAUGGAAACUGUACGGCUGGAGUGCAGGCGAGGUAGGUGGAAUUCGUGGUGUAGCGGUGAAAUGCGUAGAUAUUACGAAGAACACCGAUGGCGAAGGCAGCCUACUAAACUGUAACUGACAUUGAGGCUCGAAAGUGUGGGUAGCAAACAGGAUUAGAUACCCGUGUAGUC